GCCGGUGUGGCGGAAUUGGCAGACGCGCACGACUCAAAAUCGUGUGGGUUUAUCCCGUGUCGGUUCGACCCCGACCACCGGUACCA
This 86-nucleotide transfer RNA is filed under the name Bacillus methanolicus MGA3. RNAcentral describes it as "tRNA-Leu (CAA) (tRNA-Leu-CAA-1-1)". It matches the Rfam family "tRNA". From Rfam's summary of the family: Transfer RNA (tRNA) molecules are approximately 80 nucleotides in length. Their secondary structure includes four short double-helical elements and three loops (D, anti-codon, and T loops). The record is from RNAcentral. Lineage: Bacteria; Bacillati; Bacillota; Bacilli; Caryophanales; Bacillaceae.